UGAGUUGUCUUCCUGAAUAGUU
This 22-nucleotide microRNA is filed under the name Gallus gallus (chicken). RNAcentral's name for it is "gga-miR-7438-3p". Lineage: Eukaryota; Metazoa; Chordata; Aves; Galliformes; Phasianidae. The record is from miRBase by way of RNAcentral.